RNAcentral lists this ribosomal RNA (491 nucleotides) under Bactrocera tryoni complex sp. PHEL-12. RNAcentral describes it as "partial 16S ribosomal RNA". It matches the Rfam family "Bacterial large subunit ribosomal RNA", at positions 1816 to 2573 of the family's 2925-position model. The record is from RNAcentral. Lineage: Eukaryota; Metazoa; Arthropoda; Insecta; Diptera; Tephritidae.
CAUGUCUUUUUGAGUUAUUUUAAAAGUCUGACCUGCCCACUGAAAUUAUUUAAAUGGCCGCAGUAUUCUAACUGUGCAAAGGUAGCAUAAUCAUUAGUCUUUUAAUUGAAGGCUGGUAUGAACGGUUGGACGAGGUAUAAGCUGUUUCAUAUAAAUUUAUAAUAGAAUUUUAUAUUUUAGUCAAAAAGCUAAAAUUUAAUUAAAAGACGAGAAGACCCUAUAAAUCUUUAUACUUUAAGUUGUUUAAAUUUUUUAGAUUAAUUUUAUUUUUAUAAUUUAGAGUAUUUUGUUGGGGUGAUAUUAAAAUUUAAUGAACUUUUAGUUGUUAAAAAUCAUUAAUUUAUGAGUUAUUGAUCCAUUAAUAGUGAUUAUAAGAUUAAGUUACUUUAGGGAUAACAGCGUAAUUUUUUUGGAGAGUUCAUAUCGAUAAAAAAGUUUGCGACCUCGAUGUUGGAUUAAGAUAUAUUUUAGGUGUAGCCGCUUAAAUAUUA